Molecule: ribosomal RNA, 460 nt
Filed under: uncultured bacterium
Lineage: Bacteria
Description: partial 16S ribosomal RNA
Rfam family: Bacterial small subunit ribosomal RNA
Source: RNAcentral
CCUACGGGAUGCAGCAGUGAGGAAUAUUGGUCAAUGGGCGCGAGCCUGAACCAGCCAAGUCGCGUGAAGGAUGACUGCCCUACGGGUUGUAAACUUCUUUUAUAAAGGAAUAAAGUGAGGCACGUGUGCCUUUUUGUAUGUACCUUAUGAAUAAGGAUCGGCUAACUCCGUGCCAGCAGCCGCGGUAAUACGGAGGAUACGAGCGUUAUCCGGAUUUAGUGGGUUUAAAGGGAGCGUAGAUGGGUUGUUAAGUCAGUUGUGAAAGUUCGCGGCUCAACCGGAGAAUUGCAAUUGAUACUGGCAGUCUUGAGUACAGUUGAGGUAGGCGGAAUUCGUGGUGUAGCGGUGAAAUGCUUAGAUAUCACGCAGAACUCCGAUUGCGAAGGCAGCUUACUAAACUGCAACUGACGUUGAUGCACGAAAGUGUGGGUAUCAAACAGGAUUAGAUACCCCAGUAGUC